UUUAGUUAAAUGUAGUGCUUCAAAAAUAAAACUAGGCAGCAAGAACUUUGGUUCCUUCAUUUUCAUGAGAUGUAAAAAAAUUUGAGGCAACCUUUUAUCUUUGAAAAUUAUUCAUAGAACCAAUACAACAUCAAAUGGAUAUAUCAUAAAUGUUAGUUGGUAAGUUAUGGAAGAAGAGUUCAUCUUUCUCAAAGACGAUAUACGGGUUUUGCACACCACUUCGUUCUCGUUAUUACGUUUUGGCGUGUUGGUUAAUCCGGACUUUCUUCGAUGUUAAGUAAGAUGAAAUAAUAGUAUUUCUUGGAAAAUAAGGUAAGAUUUUUCUUGUCCUUGAUAUAUUUAAAUUUGUCUAGGUCAUUGCUAAAUUGUGGGAUGAGAAUGAUGGAGUUAAUAACGGAAAAUCGUAUUUUGAUGUUGUUGUUGUUAUUGUAUUAACUGUUUGGUAAUUUUCUAAGUUGUAUUGUGGCUGGAAAUUUGGAGUAAAUUAAGUAUAUAGUUGGUGUAGUCAUUGAUUUGUGUUUUGAAGGAGAGAAAAGAUUGGAUGAGUAUGAUUGAUAAUCGUAGCCGAGCUUGACGCUCAUAGGUUGGGUUGUAAACUGGUUGUGAGAGUUGCUGCUUGUGUUGUGUGCCACCUCACCUAUUCUAGGCUUGAGGGAAUGAUAAUAAUAGGGGAAAUAAUUUCCAUUUUAUUUUUGGAUAGGUUAUCUUCCAUUAUGCGAUUAAGAGGAUUGUUCGUACGAUUGACAAUCGUAUUAUUCUUGUUAUCGUAUGGAACGUGAAGCAGAUUCGAGUUUAGCUCUUGAGCUAGUGGGUUCCAGGUAUGUUAAGGCUACCCCUUCUUUCCUUUUGGUGUGAUCCAUAUGUUACAAACGAAAUGAGCAAAUGCACAACUUUCAUAAAUUUUGAUCACAUACUUCCUGCACUAGUAAACUUUGAUGUGUGAUACCCAGCCUAACACACUUUGGAUGAUAUUUGAAGUUUUUGUUAUCAUUCAUACCAUUCAGUCUUCUACUUAGGUACUCCAUGACUAUAGCAAAUAGGAAAGGGGACAAAGGAUCCCCUUAUCUAAGUCCCAUUUUUGCAUCAAAUGGAAUGGUGGUUUCCCCAUUGAUAAGUAUGGCAUAGUUGACUGUCUUGAUACAUUCAAGAAUCCAGCCAUGAAAUUAUGUAGGGAAUCCCAAAUUAUCCAUUACAUGUUUCAAUAAGAUCCACUCCACUGAGUCAUAGGGCUUUUGUAGAUCAAUAGUAAUUAUACACUUGUCAGAAGUAUGUUUUUUUGUAUAAGACUUGACCAAUUC
Molecule: long non-coding RNA, 1298 nt
Filed under: Nicotiana benthamiana
Lineage: Eukaryota; Viridiplantae; Streptophyta; Magnoliopsida; Solanales; Solanaceae
Description: long non-coding RNA (NBEN_LNC027959)
Source: RNAcentral